This 438-nucleotide unclassified non-coding RNA is filed under the name Hevea brasiliensis (rubber tree). The record is from RNAcentral. Lineage: Eukaryota; Viridiplantae; Streptophyta; Magnoliopsida; Malpighiales; Euphorbiaceae.
GGGCCUCAAAUCAUUAAAGCACAUCUUCGCAUCGACCACUGCGAGAAAGCUAAAAGACAGAGCUCAUAGACUUCUCUAGCCGUUAGGGUCGGCAGCCAAGUAGUGACUAGCGCAAACACCCCAGAGAUACCCUUCAAACGCUAAAAGGAGUGCACCACAGGACAUUACCACUACAACUAAGGCUCUGUAGAGCAAGCUCAAGGCGGAAUCACUUCAUCUCCGGCUCUUUUUGCCCCGAUCUGCAAUCAAAAGAACACAACAAAAAAUUAUUCACAACCCUGUCUAGAGGUAGGGAGGGAAAGACCUACUAUCCAGACAAGGAACAAGCCAUCUCGGUCAGGGGAAGGCCUCAACUAGGCAGUGACAAGUGGUCCGGAUCAGCGAGAAAAGAAACAGACAGGAGAAAAAAAUGGAGCUUUUUGACAAGUUUGAGAUUUU